UAGGGAAUCUUCCACAAUGGACGAAAGUCUGAUGGAGCAACGCCGCGUGAGUGAAGAAGGGUUUCGCUCGUAAAACUCUGUUGUUAAAGAAGAACAUAUCUGAGAGUAACUGUUCAGGUAUUGACGGUAUUUAACCAGAAAGCCACGGCUAACUACGUGUCAG
Molecule: ribosomal RNA, 163 nt
Filed under: uncultured bacterium
Lineage: Bacteria
Description: partial 16S rRNA
Rfam family: Bacterial small subunit ribosomal RNA
Source: RNAcentral